Molecule: long non-coding RNA, 485 nt
Organism: Alligator sinensis (Chinese alligator)
Lineage: Eukaryota; Metazoa; Chordata; Crocodylia; Alligatoridae
Exons: 3
Source: RefSeq, a predicted model, not a curated record
UUGAUGAAGUGACACUGCAGAUGGAAAUUUACACUCUUUGAAGAUUCCUGGCACAUCUGAACACAGAAAAUACUGCAUAUCUAAAUGUUUUAGUUAUACAAUGAGGAUUCAACUUCUCUUCCAUUAGUUGCUACUUGAAAUUCUAUACGAAUGCCAAUUUAUGGAUAUUCUGUAACUUAUCCAUGGGAAACACUGAAAUUGAGAUUGAUGGAAGUAUCAGAACCAUCACAUCGCUGACACGCCAGAGAACAGAAAGGUCUCUCUGAAUCCUAGUCCUACCCUCCAGGAUAUCUACUACUCCCCCCAGCUUGGUGUCAUCUGCAAACUUUCCAAGGGUGCAGUCCAUCCUGUCUUCCAGGUCACUGAUGAAGGUAUUGAACAAACCUGGCCCCAGGACCAACCCCUGGGGCACUACACUUGAUACCGGCUGCCAAGUAGUCACUGAGUCUUUUCAGCCCAACAAUCCAGCCAGUUCUCUAUCCAAU